Molecule: ribosomal RNA, 241 nt
Filed under: uncultured Staphylococcus sp.
Lineage: Bacteria; Bacillati; Bacillota; Bacilli; Caryophanales; Staphylococcaceae
Description: partial 16S ribosomal RNA
Rfam family: Bacterial small subunit ribosomal RNA
Source: RNAcentral
CGGACGGGUGAGUAACACGUGGAUAACCUACCUAUAAGACUGGGAUAACUUCGGGAAACCGGAGCUAAUACCGGAUAAUAUUUUGAACCGCAUGGUUCAAAAGUGAAAGACGGUCUUGCUGUCACUUAUAGAUGUAUCCGCGCUGCAUUAGCUAGUUGGUAAGGUAACGGCUUACCAAGGCAACGAUGCAUAGCCGACCUGAGAGGGUGAUCGGCCACACUGGAACUUAGACACGGUCCAG